RNAcentral lists this ribosomal RNA (464 nucleotides) under uncultured bacterium. RNAcentral describes it as "partial 16S ribosomal RNA". It matches the Rfam family "Bacterial small subunit ribosomal RNA", at positions 339 to 795 of the family's 1533-position model. The record is from RNAcentral.
CUACGGGAUGCAGCAGUGAGGAAUAUUGCGCAAUGGGGGAAACCCUGACGCAGCGACGCCGCGUGGAUGAUGAAGGCCUUAGGGUCGUAAAAUCCUGUCAGGUGGGAAGAAGUGGAUAUAGAUUAAUACUCUAUUUCUUUGACGGUACCACCAAAGGAAGCACCGGCUAACUCCGUGCCAGCAGCCGCGGUAAUACGGAGGGUGCAAACGUUGUUCGGAAUUACUGGGCGUAAAGCGCGCGUAGGCGGUUUGUUAAGUCAGAUGUGAAAGUCCAUGGCUCAACUAGGGAAGUGCAUUUGAACUGGCAGACUUGAGUACUGGAGGGGGUGAUGGAAUUCCCGGUGUAGAGGUGAAAUUCGUAGAUAUCGGGAGGAAUACCGGUGGCGAGGGCGAUCACCUGGCCAGAUACUGACGCUGAGGUGCGAAAGCGUGGGGAGCAAACAGGAUUAGAUACCCCUGUAGUC